CCUACGGGUGGCAGCAGUGAGGAAUAUUGGUCAAUGGGCGCGAGCCUGAACCAGCCAAGUAGCGUGAAGGAUGACUGCCCUACGGGUUGUAAACUUCUUUUAUAAAGGAAUAAAGUGAGGCACGUGUGCCUUUUUGGAUGUACGUUAUGAAUAAGGAUCGGCUAACUCCGGGCCAGCAGCCGCGGUAAGACGGAGGAUCCGAGCGUUAUCCGGAUUUAUUGGGGUUAAAGGGAGCGGAGAUGGGUUGUUAAGUCAGUUGUGAAAGUUUGCGGCUCAACCGUAAAAUUGCAAUUGAUACUGGCAGUCUUGAGUCCAGUUGAGGUAGGCGGAAUUCGUUGUGUAGCGGUGAACUGCUUAGAUAUCUCG
Molecule: ribosomal RNA, 366 nt
Filed under: uncultured bacterium
Lineage: Bacteria
Description: partial 16S ribosomal RNA
Rfam family: Bacterial small subunit ribosomal RNA
Source: RNAcentral